Molecule: long non-coding RNA, 1185 nt
Organism: Sceloporus undulatus (fence lizard)
Lineage: Eukaryota; Metazoa; Chordata; Lepidosauria; Squamata; Phrynosomatidae
Exons: 3
Source: RefSeq, a predicted model, not a curated record
UACAGGAACUUUCCUCUCCCCAGGAAUCCUAAACAGAGAAUGUGAGCGGAUAGCACUUUGAAAAUGACACAGCGGGUUAAAGCUUCCAAAGAUGACCCUAAAGAGACACCAGCAGCCAUGCUUGUGAUGAGGUACCUCAUGGGACACUCACAACUUCCUGCCCAAGACCACAUGGCCUCCAGUGCAUCACAACUGCAGCCAAGGCAGAGUUUUUUUAAAACUCAUUUUCCUCUCAUCUCUCAGGCACUGACGUUGAAUCUGUGUAGAUUUACCGCUACAUCAUUGAAAAGGGGAUACUGCAUCUUAAUACUUUUAGGGAUACACUGUGGAUUUCCACCAAACAGCGGAAAGAGUAUCCUUGAACUUUUUGACAUAGCUUUGGAGCAUAAAGGAGAAAUUGAAGGGAUUUGGGGAUAGGCCAAAAUACCAUUGGAAACAGGGAGCCUUUCAACCUCAAAACACCGUAAUUCAUAACCAGAUCUUUUCUGAAAUACGACCAGACUAUCUCUUGUGAAGUGGAUUUUCCAUUCCAUAUUUCAUACCAAUAGGACUUUUUAUAGUACAUAUCUAAGCACGUUUACUAAGCAUGUUUACUCAGAGAAGGAUGUUUCAGAGUUCAGUGGGGUUUAGGCUCAAAGAAGUAUACAAAAGAUGAAUUUAUGUUAAAUAUGUGUUCAGCCUUUAAAACACAGAUGGGAAUCAUAAGGGCUUCUACAUGUUUUUUAACGACAACUUCCAGUGUAGCCAAUGAUGAUGAAUGAAGAGAGUUGUUGUCCAACAACAUCUGGAGAGCUGCAUGAUUCCCAUUCUCCUUUGUACCUAUUCCCAUGCUUUUUAACACAUUAAACAUAAAUUUCCAUCGCAUACCAUCGAAUGCCUUUUUGGCAUCGACAAAAAUUAACGCCAUUUCUUUCUCUUUGUGAAUAGUGUGAUGUUCUAUUAUAUUUAAUAUCGUUCUUGUAUUAUAUCUCAAUUGUCUUUCUGGCAAAAAACCAUUCUGAUCAUUGUUAAUAACUUUACACAAAAUCUUUUUCAGCCUGUUAGCUAGUAUUCCUGUAAAGGUUUUAUAAUCGAUAUUUCAUAAGGCUAUUGGCCUAUAGUUUGACAUUACUGUAUUGUCCUUACCUUCCUUUGGGAUAAAUGAGACAUUAGCUGUGUACCACGCAUUAGGUCUACCUUCUCGAA